This 904-nucleotide long non-coding RNA is filed under the name Trifolium pratense (red clover). RNAcentral's name for it is "long non-coding RNA (TPRA_LNC003336)". Lineage: Eukaryota; Viridiplantae; Streptophyta; Magnoliopsida; Fabales; Fabaceae. The record is from RNAcentral.
AAAUGGUUGGAAAAGCUUCAGUAGGUGUUCAUGAGUAAAAAAAACGUUUAGAAACUAACUUGUUUUGAAGCUUGCUUAGAUGAGUUAGAACUCACUCUUUUCUUUGCAAUUUUGGAGUUUGAGUAAGCUUCUCUCAACGGUUUUCCUUCGUUUUUUCGAUGGUUAUUAUCUACUGAAAGUGUUUGGAUGCUUUUGGGUGAAGAAAAGUGAAGGUUAGAGGGUGUUUGAGUCAAUUUCGGAUUUUGGAAAAGUGAUGAAGAAAAAUGAGAUUUUGAUUUUUUCUCUUCUCUCUGUUUCUCUGUGUCCUCUUUUGCUCUGAACUCUGCUCUCAAUUUAUAGACCAAAGUGAUAAUCUUUGUCCAUUGGAUUAAUUGAGUUUGAAUUGAUUAAAGUGAGGUUUUGGAAGAAAAUUUGGUUUUGCAAAUUCAAAGAUGGAAUGAAAUGAUUUGCCCUUUUGUUUGGAGUAUUAGAUGGUGAAGACUUAAAGCUUGUUUUGGAAAAAGUUGAAAGUAGAAAUCCAGAAAACCAGGGGAGGGAGGCGCAGCACUGUUGCUGUUGCUGCUUUUCUUUUUUUUCUUUUUUUUAUAUUUUAUUAAUUAACAAAAUUAAUAAUAAUACUAAUAUAAUAUAAUAAUAAUAAUAAUAAUAAUAAUAAAAGAAAUUGUAAAAAGAGGGUAGGACAAAAUUAGGGUAUGACAGCUGCCCCUAUUUAAUUACCUUGGACCCAUAAGUAUGAAUGAUCUUUGUCUUCAUAAUCUUGAGGUGCAAGGUAAUUAAAUACAAAUGCCCUAAUUUUGCUCCACGGAGAAAAAUGAAUUUGAUGAUGAUAAAGAAUGAGAUCCACUUCCCUGGAAAAGUCGGAUACUCAAGGUAGAGAUGAUUCUGAUUUUAUUCAGCCGCCCAC